RNAcentral lists this ribosomal RNA (440 nucleotides) under uncultured bacterium. RNAcentral describes it as "partial 16S ribosomal RNA". It matches the Rfam family "Bacterial small subunit ribosomal RNA", at positions 338 to 795 of the family's 1533-position model. The record is from RNAcentral.
CCUACGGGAGGCAGCAGUGAGGAAUAUUGCACAAUGGGGGAAACCCUGAUGCAGCAACGCCGCGUGAGUGAAGAAGUAUUUCGGUAUGUAAAGCUCUAUCAGCAGGGAAGAAGAUGACGGUACCUGAGUACGAAGCCCCGGCCUACGACGGGCCAGCAGGCGCGGUACGACGUAGGGGGCAAGCGUUAUCCGGAUUUACUGGGUGUAAAGGGGGCGUAGACGGGGAGACAGGUCUGAAGUGAAAGCCCGGGGCUCAACCCCGGGACGGCUUUGGAAACUGCCGGACUGGAGUGCUGGAGAGGCAAGCGGAAUUCCUAGUGUAGCGGUGAAAUGCGUAGAUAUUAGGAAGAACCCCAGUGGCGAAGGCGGCUUGCUGGACAGUAACUGACGUUGAUGCUCGAAAGCGUGGGGAGCAAACAGGAUUAGAUACCCUAGUAGUC